UACGUAGGAUGCAAGCGUUAUCCGGAUUUACUGGGUGUAAAGGGGGCGCAGACGGCGAUGCAAGCCAGGAGUGAAAGCCCGGGGCCCAACCCCGGGACUGCUCUUGGAACUGCGUGGCUGGAGUGCAGGAGGGGCAGGCGGAAUUCCUGGUGUAGCGGUGAAAUGCGUAGAUAUCAGGAGGAACACCGGCGGCGAAGGCGGCCUGCUGGACCGCGACUGACGUUGAGGCUCGAAAGCGUGGGGAGCGAACAGG
This 253-nucleotide ribosomal RNA is filed under the name uncultured bacterium. Its description in RNAcentral is "partial 16S ribosomal RNA". It matches the Rfam family "Bacterial small subunit ribosomal RNA", at positions 524 to 776 of the family's 1533-position model. The record is from RNAcentral.